GACGAACGCUGGCGGCGUGCCUAAUACAUGCAAGUAGAACGCACAGUUUAUACCGUAGCUUGCUACACCAUAAACUGUGAGUUGCGAACAGGUGAGUAACGCGUAGGUAACCUGCCUGGUAGCGGGGGAUAACUAUUGGAAACGAUAGCUAAUACCGCAUAAUAUUGAUUAUUGCAUGAUAAUUGAUUGAAAGGUGCUAUUGCAUCACUACCAGAUGGACCUGCGUUGUAUUAGCUAGUAGGUGAGGUAACGGCUCACCUAGGCGACGAUACAUAGCCGACCUGAGAGGGUGAUCGGCCACACUGGGACUGAGACACGGCCCAGACUCCUACGGGAGGCAGCAGUAGGGAAUCUUCGGCAAUGGACGAAAGUCUGACCGAGCAACGCCGCGUGAGUGAAGAAGGUUGUCGGAUCGUAAAGCUCUGUUGUAAGAGAAGAACGGGUGUGAGAGUGGAAAGUUCACACUGUGACGGUAGCUUACCAGAAAGGGACGGCUAACUACGUG
RNAcentral lists this ribosomal RNA (505 nucleotides) under uncultured bacterium. RNAcentral describes it as "partial 16S ribosomal RNA". It matches the Rfam family "Bacterial small subunit ribosomal RNA", at positions 28 to 507 of the family's 1533-position model. The record is from RNAcentral.